GUAUAACCAAUCUUUAAUGUGAAAUGUAAUGUAAAAGCCUUUGUUAGUCAGUGAUUGCUAUUUAGUUUCUACUUCUUAUUGAUUAAGGGAACUAGAUGGACUUGGUUUAACGACCUAGCAUUGAUUAUCAAAUGUAAUUAUUAAUCAAUUUAUUAACCCAUUGAACCGAUUAACUUAUUAUUAGUUAUUCAUUUCUUUUAUUGUGAACUGAAUUGUUCUUUACUCUUCGGGUAAUACCAAAGAGAUGGAAUUAUAUUUACGAAACAUAAAUUAUGAACAACUCUUAGCAACGGAUAUCUUGGUUCUCGUAACGAUGAAGAACGCAGCGAAAUGCGAUACGUAAUGCGAAUUGCAGAAUUCAGUGAAUCAUCAAAUCUUUGAACGCAAAUUGCGCUUCUUGGAUAGGCCAGGAAGCAUGCCUCUUUGAGUAUCGUUUUCACCCCAGCUCGACUGCUUAUUUGUAAUGAAUAAGUUCGUCGGAGAAUGAGUUUGUCUUGUCUGAAAGGAUAAGUCACUUUAAAUGCUGUGAGUUUGAUUAACGUUUACAUCAGUUUAGUGUCUUGCAGUAUUUAUUUAUUGUGAGGCUGGAUUAGUGUUCUGAUCGCUGUUGUAAUGUGGAUAAUCUCUAUUUACAUUAUUAUGCAGUGCUUUGGAGCAUUGAUUCGGUAAUCAUUAAAUUGGUUGUUAAUCACUAUGAACUCAGUGGAAAUUAUCUAAUACUUUAGUGUAUAACUUUGAAUUAGAUCUCAAAUGAAGCAAGACUACCCGCUGAACUUAAGCAUAUUAUUAAGCGGAGGAAAAGAAACUAACAAGGAUGCCCUCAGUAACGGCGAGUGAAGCGGGCAAAGCUCAACCUGAAAAUCGAAUAUCC
This 871-nucleotide ribosomal RNA is filed under the name uncultured fungus. Its description in RNAcentral is "eukaryotic LSU rRNA". The stretch from base 279 to 433 matches the Rfam family "5.8S ribosomal RNA". Lineage: Eukaryota; Fungi. The record is from RNAcentral.